Molecule: ribosomal RNA, 1345 nt
Filed under: uncultured bacterium
Lineage: Bacteria
Description: bacterial SSU rRNA
Rfam family: Bacterial small subunit ribosomal RNA
Source: RNAcentral
GACGAACGCUGGCGGCGUGCUUAACACAUGCAAGUCGAACGAUGAAGCCUAGCUUGCUAGGUGGAUUAGUGGCGAACGGGUGAGUAAUACGUGAGUGACCUACCUUUGACUCUGGGAUAAGCCUGGGAAACUGGGUCUAAUACCGGAUAUGACCAAUCUCCGCAUGGGGUGUUGGUGGAAAGCGUUAUGGAGUGGUUUUAGAUGGGCUCACGGCCUAUCAGCUUGUUGGUGAGGUAAUGGCUUACCAAGGCGACGACGGGUAGCCGGCCUGAGAGGGUGACCGGCCACACUGGGACUGAGACACGGCCCAGACUCCUACGGGAGGCAGCAGUGGGGAAUAUUGCACAAUGGGCGCAAGCCUGAUGCAGCGACGCCGCGUGAGGGAUGACGGCCUUCGGGUUGUAAACCUCUGUUAGCAUCGAAGAAGCGAAAGUGACGGUAGGUGCAGAGAAAGCGCCGGCUAACUACGUGCCAGCAGCCGCGGUAAUACGUAGGGCGCGAGCGUUGUCCGGAAUUAUUGGGCGUAGAGCUUGUAGGCGGUUGGUCGCGUCUGCUGUGAAAGGCUGGGGCUUAACCCUGGUUUUGCAGUGGGUACGGGCUAACUAGAGUGCAGUAGGGGAGACUGGAAUUCCUGGUGUAGCGGUGGAAUGCGCAGAUAUCAGGAGGAACACCGAUGGCGAAGGCAGGUCUCUGGGCUGUAACUGACGCUGAGAAGCGAAAGCAUGGGGAGCGAACAGGAUUAGAUACCCUGGUAGUCCAUGCCGUAAACGUUGGGCACUAGGUGUGGGGGACAUUCCACGUUUUCCGCGCCGUAGCUAACGCAUUAAGUGCCCCGCCUGGGGAGUACGGCCGCAAGGCUAAAACUCAAAGAAAUUGACGGGGGCCCGCACAAGCGGCGGAGCAUGCGGAUUAAUUCGAUGCAACGCGAAGAACCUUACCAAGGCUUGACAUAUACUGGACUGCGUCAGAGAUGGCGUUUCCCUUCGGGGCUGGUAUACAGGUGGUGCAUGGUUGUCGUCAGCUCGUGUCGUGAGAUGUUGGGUUAAGUCCCGCAACGAGCGCAACCCUCGUUCUAUGUUGCCAGCACGUGAUGGUGGGGACUCAUAGGAGACUGCCGGGGUUAACUCGGAGGAAGGUGGGGAUGACGUCAAAUCAUCAUGCCCCUUAUGUCUUGGGCUUCACGCAUGCUACAAUGGCCGGUACAGAGGGUUGCGAUACUGUGAGGUGGAGCUAAUCCCUAAAAGCCGGUCUCAGUUCGGAUUGGGGUCUGCAACUCGACCCCAUGAAGUCGGAGUCGCUAGUAAUCGCAGAUCAGCAACGCUGCGGUGAAUACGUUCCCGGGCCU